UUACAGGUAUUAGAGUAGGUGAAUACACGGUUACAUUUACUGAAUAAAGGAGAUUCUUUUUCUAAAAAUAAAAAUAAUUUACAAUUGAUAGUGUACAAAGUACUGUGAAGGAAAGGUGAAAAGAAAUUUUUUAAAAAUAUUUAAAAGAACCUGAAACUUAAUGUAAAUAAACAGUUUUUACCAAACGGUAAUGCGUACCUUUUGUAUAAUGGGCCAAUAAGUAAUUAAGAUUAGCAAGCUGUGUAUGCGUUUUUAAUGAAAGUUAAUUUUAAUUUACCCGAAGCUAGACGAUCUAACUACGAACAGGUUUUUGGACCGAACUCGUAAAUGUUGCAAAAUUUUGAGAUGAUUUGUAGUUAGCGGUGAAAUGCCAAUCGAGUUUAGUUAUAGCUGGUUUUCCACGAAAUCUAUUUUAGUAGAGUAUGAUAAAAAUAUUUAAAACGGUUUUAAUAACUUAUAAAGAAUUCUUCAAGACUAAUUUAUAUUUAUAUACUAAUUUUUUAUUAUUAAUUUAUUAUAAACAGACUAUUAGCGCUAAGGUUUUUAGUCGAGAGGGAAACAGCCCUGAGCGAAUGAUAAGGUUUUUAAAAUAUGUUAAGUUUAAAGAUUUAAGUUUUAAUUUAAUUUAAGGUAGGCUUGGAAGCAGCCAUCCUAUAAUAAAAGCGUAAAAGCUUAAAAUACAAAAAUUACUUUAAAAAAUAAAAGUAGUGAAACUGGAAUCUGAAAAUAAACGAAAUUAAAAUAUAUUACCGAAGCAUCGCGGUCUAUAAUGAUCGGUAGUGGAAUAUGCAGUAGGCUGUAAUUUUAUUUGAAAAAAUAAAAUUUAGUAUCUGUAAUAAUAAUAUUGGCAUGAGUAACGUAAUUAAUAUUUAAAUUAUUAACAUCUAAAACCCAAGGUUUUUGUUGUAAAGUUCAACUACAACAAGUAAACCGGUUUCU
Molecule: ribosomal RNA, 939 nt
Filed under: Protocruzia adhaerens
Lineage: Eukaryota; Ciliophora; Spirotrichea
Description: Protocruzia adherens partial Bacterial large subunit ribosomal RNA
Rfam family: Bacterial large subunit ribosomal RNA
Source: RNAcentral